CAUAUACUCCCUCCGUCCGAAAAUACUUGUCCUAGAAAUGAAUGUAUCUAGACUUAUUUUAGUUAUAGAUACAUCCAUUAUAUCCAUUUCUAGGACAAGUAUUUCCGGACGGAGGUAGUAUUAA
This 124-nucleotide microRNA precursor is filed under the name Hordeum vulgare. RNAcentral describes it as "microRNA MIR1122". It matches the Rfam family "MIR1120/MIR1122 microRNA precursor family". The record is from RNAcentral. Lineage: Eukaryota; Viridiplantae; Streptophyta; Magnoliopsida; Poales; Poaceae.